UACAGAGGUCUCAAGCGUUGUUCGGAUUCAUUGGGCGUAAAGGGUGCGUAGGCGGCGCGGUAAGUCGGGUGUGAAAUCCUGGAGCUUAACUCCGAAACUGCAUUCGAUACUGCCGUGCUUGAGGACUGGAGAGGAGACUGGAAUUUACGGUGUAGCGGUGAAAUGCGUAGAUAUCGUAAGGAAGACCAGUGGCGAAGGCGGGUCUCUGGACAGUUCCUGACGCUGAGGCACGAAGGUCAGGGGAGCAAACGGG
This 253-nucleotide ribosomal RNA is filed under the name uncultured bacterium. Its description in RNAcentral is "partial 16S ribosomal RNA". It matches the Rfam family "Bacterial small subunit ribosomal RNA", at positions 524 to 776 of the family's 1533-position model. The record is from RNAcentral.